This 253-nucleotide ribosomal RNA is filed under the name uncultured bacterium. Its description in RNAcentral is "partial 16S ribosomal RNA". It matches the Rfam family "Bacterial small subunit ribosomal RNA", at positions 524 to 776 of the family's 1533-position model. The record is from RNAcentral.
UACGGGGGGGGCAAGCGUUGUUCGGAAUUACUGGGCGUAAAGGGCUCGUAGGCGGCCAACUAAGUCAGACGUGAAAUCCCUCGGCUUAACCGGGGAACUGCGUCUGAUACUGGAUGGCUUGAGUUUGGGAGAGGGAUGCGGAAUUCCAGGUGUAGCGGUGAAAUGCGUAGAUAUCUGGAGGAAUACCGGUGGCGAAGGCGGCAUCCUGGACCGGCAUUGACGCUGAGGAGCGAAAGCAAGGGGAGCAAACGGG